This 468-nucleotide ribosomal RNA is filed under the name uncultured bacterium. Its description in RNAcentral is "partial 16S ribosomal RNA". It matches the Rfam family "Bacterial small subunit ribosomal RNA", at positions 28 to 507 of the family's 1533-position model. The record is from RNAcentral.
GACGAACGCUGGCGGCGUGCUUAACAAAUGCAAGUCGAACGGACAGGCCCUGCUUUUGUUGGUUUCUCGAGUGGCGCACAGGUGAGUAACACGUGAGUAACCUCCCCUUAACUUUGUGAUAUCUUUUCGAAACUGGGGCUAAUACCGCAUAUGAUCUCUUGCCGCAUGUUGGUCGUUAGUAAGUUUCGGCGGUUGGGGCUGUACUCGCGGCUUAUCCGCUUGUUUGUCUGGUAGUGGCUGACCAAGGGUUUGACGGCUAGCCUGCCUGAGAGGGUGAACGGCCACAUGGGGACUGAGGGACGGCGCAGAAGCCUACGGGAGGCAGCAGGGGGGAAUAUGGCACAAUGGGCGGAAGCCUGAUGCAGCAACGCCGGGUGCGGGAUGACGGGCUUCGGGUGGUAAACAGCUGUCGCCGGUGACGAAGCGUGAGUGACGGUAAUGGGUAAAGAAGCAACGGCUAACUACGUG